RNAcentral lists this ribosomal RNA (117 nucleotides) under Pteropus alecto (black flying fox). Lineage: Eukaryota; Metazoa; Chordata; Mammalia; Chiroptera; Pteropodidae. The record is from RNAcentral.
GUCUACGGCCAUACACCCUGAACAACCCCCAUUUUGUCUGAUCUCGGAGGCUAAGCAGGGUGGGGCCUGGUUAGUACUUGGAUGGGAGACUACCUUGGAAGACCAAGUGCUGAGGCG